This 474-nucleotide ribosomal RNA is filed under the name uncultured organism. RNAcentral's name for it is "partial 16S ribosomal RNA". It matches the Rfam family "Bacterial small subunit ribosomal RNA", at positions 335 to 800 of the family's 1533-position model. The record is from RNAcentral.
ACUCCUACGGGAGGCAGCAGUGGGGAAUUUUGGACACUGGGCGAAAGCCUGAUCCAGCAAUGCCGCGUGAGUGAAGAAGGCCUUCGGGUUGUAAAGCUCUUUUGUCAGGGAAGAAACGGUGAAAGCUAAUAUCUUUUGCUAAUGACGGUACCUGAAGAAUAAGCACCGGCUAACUACGUGCCAGCAGCCGCGGUAAUACGUAGGGUGCAAGCGUUAAUCGGAAUUACUGGGCGUAAAGCGUGCGCAGGCGGUUUUGUAAGUCUGAUGUGAAAUCCCCGGGCUCAACCUGGGAAUUGCAUUGGAGACUGCAAGGCUAGAAUCUGGCAGAGGGGGGUAGAAUUCCACGUGUAGCAGUGAAAUGCGUAGAUAUGUGGAGGAACACCGAUGGCGAAGGCAGCCCCCUGGGUCAAGAUUGACGCUCAUGCACGAAAGCGUGGGGAGCAAACAGGAUUAGAUACCCCUGUAGUCCCAUGA